UGGGGAAUUUUGGACAAUGGGCGCAAGCCUGAUCCAGCAAUGCCGCGUGAGUGAAGAAGGCCUUCGGGUUGUAAAGCUCUUUUGUCAGGGAAGAAACGGCUGUGGCUAAUAUCCAUGGCUAAUGACGGUACCUGAAGAAUAAGCACCGGCUAACUACGUGCCAGCAGCCGCGGUAAUACGUAGGGUGCAAGCGUUAAUCGGAAUUACUGGGCGUAAAGCGUGCGCAGGCGGUUUUGUAAGUCUGUCGUGAAAUCCCCGGGCUCAACCUGGGAAGUGCGAUGGAGACUGCAAGGCUAGAAUCUGGCAGAGGGGGGUAGAAUUCCGACGUGUAGCAGUGAAAUGCGUAGAGAUGUGGAGGAACACCGAUGGCGAAGGCAG
RNAcentral lists this ribosomal RNA (378 nucleotides) under uncultured Massilia sp. Its description in RNAcentral is "bacterial SSU rRNA". It matches the Rfam family "Bacterial small subunit ribosomal RNA", at positions 355 to 724 of the family's 1533-position model. The record is from RNAcentral. Lineage: Bacteria; Pseudomonadati; Pseudomonadota; Betaproteobacteria; Burkholderiales; Oxalobacteraceae.